RNAcentral lists this ribosomal RNA (979 nucleotides) under uncultured bacterium. RNAcentral describes it as "bacterial SSU rRNA". It matches the Rfam family "Bacterial small subunit ribosomal RNA". The record is from RNAcentral.
AGUAACGGCCGCCAGUGUGCUGGAAUUCGCCCUUAGUUUGAUCAUGGCUCAGAAUGAACGCUGGCGGCGUGCCUAACACAUGCAAGUCGGAUGUGCCGCAAGGUGCAUGGCAGACGGGUGAGUAACGCGUAGGGAACCUACCUCUUUGUGGGGAAUAACGCUCCGAAAGGAGUGGUAAUACCGCAUGAGACCAAUGGCUGGGAUGCUGUUGGUGAAAGCUGGGGAUCGAAAGACCUAGCGCAAGGAGAGGGUCCUGCGUCUGAUUAGCUAGUUGGAGGGGUAACGGCCCACCAAGGCGACGAUCAGUAGCCGGCCUGAGAGGGUGAUCGGCCACACUGGAACUGAGACACGGUCCAGACUCCUACGGGAGGCAGCAGUGGGGAAUUUUGCGCAAUGGACGAAAGUCUGACGCAGCAACGCCGCGUGGGUGAUGAAGGUCUUCGGAUCGUAAAACCCUGUCGUCAGGGACGAAGGGUUGCAACCUAAUACGUUGUGACUUUGACGGUACCUGGAGAGGAAGCCCCGGCUAACUCUGUGCCAGCAGCCGCGGUAAUACAGAGGGGGCAAGCGUUAUUCGGAAUUAUUGGGCGUAAAGGGCGCGUAGGCGGUUUUGUAAGUGAGAUGUGUAAUCCCCGAGCUUAACUUGGGAACUGCAUCUCAGACUGCAAGGCUAGAGUACUGGAGAGGGUGGUAGAAUUCCACGUGUAGCGGUGAAAUGCGUAGAGAUGUGGAGGAAUACCAGUGGCGAAGGCGGCCACCUGGACAGUAACUGACGCUGAGGCGCGAAAGCGUGGGGAGCAAACAGGAUUAGAUACCCUGGUAGUCCACGCCCUAAACGGUGGGCACUAGGUGUAGGGCUCGUAAGGGUUCUGUGCCGAAGGGAAACCAUUAAGUGCCCCGCCUGGGGAGUACGGCCGCAAGGUUGAAACUUAAAGGAAUUGACGGAAGGGCGAUUCUGCAGAUAUCAUCACACUGGCGG